Molecule: microRNA, 21 nt
Filed under: Taeniopygia guttata (zebra finch)
Lineage: Eukaryota; Metazoa; Chordata; Aves; Passeriformes; Estrildidae
Description: tgu-miR-2992
Source: miRBase by way of RNAcentral
CCCCGGCAGGACAAAGUCUCU